CCGGUCCGUGGUAACGUCGUUGCAGUUUUAUUUCGCUGCCGAAUACAUCCCAUUCACGACAGCACACAGAAGUUGAUCAGGGGAUGGCGGCUAGCAUGAGUCAGUCUCCAGUUGUCUAGUCGGACAGACUCUGUAAAAGGAGCGAUACAGAUUCUGGACAUUUUCUCUGUUGUGGUUUGAAUCUCAACAUUCGACUUCGCGAUAAAGCCACAAAUUGACCAGGAGUUCCAGUCUUACCACCCUACAUUCCUUACUGCCAACCUUGUGUGAUAUGACCCAGACAAUAAUUCCAGGGAAGCAUGCUCACAAUUACCAAAUUUCCGUGAACAUGUUUAAAAUACCAUUUCUUAGUUCAAUAUCAAUAUUAAGCGAAAUUAAAACGAAUUUUUAAAUCUAGAUUUACAACUAAAUAAGCAUAAGCAGUUGCUCAUGACAGUUGACUUUAGUUAUAAUCUUUGCAAUAGAAAAUUUAUCCAUGAAUGGCAUUUGGUUACCUAACGCACGAAGAUAGAUGUCUUCCGGGUUGUUGUGCCAUGGUAGAAGUUUAACAUCAUCGCCCUGAUGAUGGAGGCAGCAAGGACCUUUGAAAUGUUGGUAAACUCCUACCAGAACACACGGUGCAACAACGUCGCAGACGGCCAGCCGGGCAUCUUCAAAAUCAUCGCCGUGACAACCUCAAAUCCUACCUAACGUACGUUUAGAAUCAAGAGAAACGAUAAUGUUCUACAUGACUACAGGGUGUCCGGUCUGAGGUGGAGCUACAUUUCGUCUGCCGAGAGUCUGAAGUACAAGAUAGCGUCUAGGACGACUCUACAAGUUCAGACAAGUUAAUGAAGCGAUGAACUGUCAAUCUCGUUCUAGCUUAUAGUGAAUAUGAAGUGUGGAUAAAAGUACCAUUUUUAUCUCUUGUAUAUUAACCCUUUUUCAUGCUAGGAAAGAUAUUUAUUCGUUCAGAAAUAGUUACUGUUCUGAAUAAGUAUGGUUCAACAACGUAUGUGAAAUUGUAUUUGUAUUGGUUUCUUUCUUAAUUCAAAUAACUGUAGCUUUCCAUCGACUGAAGUCAUGCAUUAGUUACCAAUUAUAUAUAACCAAAGGAAACACGUUUUGCUAAACAGAACUUAUCGUGGAAAGGGAUAAAAUUGCCUUAAUUAUAAAUAGACUGGAAUCCCUGUUCAAUGUUUCUCGACUUUAACGUUCUCCUUCAUUUAAUUUUCAGUUUUGAUAAUCCCAGCUCAAGUGUUUUAUAUUUUCCUCAAUUUAAUGUUCAUUUAUAUUGUCCUGAGGAUCAGUCUUAACAAAUAAAUUAAAAAAAUUCAAAUAUGUACUCCUGCAUGUUACUUUAUUAAAGUGUUUUGUAAAUUAUUCCACUCAUAAAUGUUUACCGUAUAUUUAAAAAUUAUCCUCUCUUCUUGGAUUAUUAUUCUUCUUUAAACGUUUAGUCUGGUUUACCCAUAUUUUGUCCUUUUAAAAUGCCACUCUGUCAAAUUUACUCUGAUUUGGUUUAUAAACUGUCGGACUCAGCACGACACUUGAUUGAAAAUGUAUUUACCGAUGUCGGACUGAACCCAAAAGAGGACUUACUUUGAGGUGCAUUUAUUUGAAUAUAUGACAAAUGAUCAGUGGUAAUUUAUUUUGAUAAUAAUGUUAAGAUAAUUGUAAUUGUUGGACUGAGGCUAAAAUUGGGCCAGAACACGGUGCGUACAAAUUUCGGGCUAAGGCCGUCUAAUGGCUCGGAAGAUUUAAAAUUGGGCACUUGCGAUAAAAUAUCAAUGGUUUAUGUGUGUAUUACUUUAAAUUUUGGUACUAGGGUACUUUAGAUUUCUGUAAAGUUAUAUUAGUACAUAGUUACCGCAAAAUAUAUUACCAAGCCGAAAACAUAAUUCAGUUUCAUAAUUAAUAACUGUUGUUUUCGCAUAUAUAUUGAAUGAUUUUUUUUUAUAUUUUUAUACACUAAUUUUUGUAAGAAUCUGUUAUAAAAAAAUGUGUGUAGUAACUUAUAUUUUAGAAUUUUCGUGAUUAUUUCACAUUAUUCGAAAGACUGAAAGUUAAAAUUGACUAAACUAUUAUAAAUAUUUAUGGCAAAAUAUAUCUCAUAUAAAUGUUAAGAUGUCCUACUGAAGCUUAUGUAGGCCUAAUUGUUAUAAUUUUAAUAUAUUUCUUUUAUUUUAAAGCAUUUUGUAGUAAGAUUAUUCAGGUCUACAAACUUUGUACAUUCAACUUCAGACUGGUGGUGUUUUAUGGACGACGGUAAGCUUACGCACUAUGUAUCUUGAAAUUAUUCCACUGAAUUCUUGAUAUGAACAAUGCGUAUUUGUGUUACUAACAAAUUCUCAUCAUCAGUUUUAAAUCAGUGGCCUCUCAGAACUGAUACAGUGGCUGGAAAAGGGCGAAACACUAUUGGGAGACCAAAUAUGAUAACGUAGAAGCAACAGUGACUCCAUGAUUGAAAGUACAGGACUCUGAUUCCUACGGGCAGGAGAUAGAAGAUCUUAGCCACACUAUGACAGGGUCCAUGAGACCUAUUUCCCGCGGGAUUAAAUAGAAAAUAUUCAUGAAGGCACUUGAAGUUAUACAUACACCAUGUAAACUUGGUUUCUGACGACCUGUUAAAUGAAAGCUAUUCCACCAUAACUUUUAAAUUUUACAUAAUUCUUUGAUGUGUCAAUUUGAUUUACGUUUCUACAUAGUAUCAACAGUCUAUCAUCUGACGACGUGAGUAUAGAUUCGUCAUCAUGAACUGUAUACAACGUAUGUGUAAAUUUUAGACCUCGAGACUUCCCUACUUUAAUAACUCAGAUUACAAUUAUUUUUUAUAAAAUAUAUAUACUGUCAGUUUUCCAUAUGAUAUUUCGAAUUUGCUCAUUUUAUUAAAUAACAUAGGUCUGUUUCGUUUGUAUCAUGUAUAAGAUGGCAUAAUAAAACUUAGUUCAAUGUGGAUCUGUACACAAAUGUAUCCUGUGAAAGGAUCCAUUACAAACCUGUCUUGCUUCUAAGUAGCCGUUGCAAAGAAUAAAGUAUACAAUCCAUUUGUGUAA
Molecule: non-coding RNA, 3035 nt
Organism: Zootermopsis nevadensis
Lineage: Eukaryota; Metazoa; Arthropoda; Insecta; Blattodea; Termopsidae
Source: RefSeq, a predicted model, not a curated record